Long non-coding RNA from Oryza sativa Japonica Group (Japanese rice), 986 nucleotides. RefSeq lists it as uncharacterized. NCBI's taxonomy places the organism in Eukaryota, Viridiplantae, Streptophyta, Magnoliopsida, Poales, Poaceae. The record is from RefSeq and is a predicted model, not a curated record.
CCACUUAUCUGUCCUCAACCUUUUUCCCCUCUACUCACAGCUCGCCAGCGUCCCUCCACUCACAGCUUGCCGGCGUGCGCCGCCGCUCCCCUCGCUUCCUCCACCUUCGCACGCCGGCGCUGCUGCGCCGCCGCUCCCCUCCAUUCCUCCGCCUCCCCAUGCCGGCGCUGCUGCGCCGUCGCUCCCCUCCCUCCCUCCGCCUCCCCCAUGACGACGGUGCCGCACCGCUGCUCCCAUCCCUUCCUCCGAUUCUGUCCACAGGUACCACUUAGCAGCAACCCCCUCUCAUGCAGCAGACUCAAACCAUAGGGUCUACAUCAAAGUUCAGUAGAUUUUCUGAUUUUUUAUAGACGAGGCCAAGGGAAGCCGUGAUGGGGGUGGCAAGAAAAUUAUAUCCCGUGAUGGGGUAGUCGUAUUUGAUACUUGACCUGUUAAAAUUAACAGAGUCGAUAUGGCUACAUGUUCAGAUAAUUCAGAUUCUGUACAUUUUGUGCCUAGUGGUCCAAGGCGCUCACCAAGGGUCAAGAAAUCCAACCAAUGUAAUGCUGAAGAGCAAAGGAGGAAAUGUGCCUCGAAACCUUGUACCAAGCUUAAAUUCCUACCAGAUAAAUCAAAUGCCAUUUGUGGCAACAAGAAAAGGAAGAAGAUGGAAACUGAAACGAAGGUUUCAGUGCACAAUCAGAAGCAGGUCAUUACCUUCAGCUGCUACUCGAGCCGCAUGUGCAAAAUAGCAUCUCAACUUUCACCUGUUCAGACUCAGUUUGUGCAUAAUGCUUGUUUUGAGAAUUUACUGUCAAUGCAAGUUUGUAGUAUGUCCAAAAGCAUGACACCGUGGCUUGUCAAUACAAUGAGAACCAGGCCAACUAUGUAGUGGUACCAUCAUUUUUUUUGUUUUUAACCAUGUGAAUAUGUGAACAAAUGUCACCAUGUAAUGGCUACUGCCAUGUCACCAUGUGAAAUACAUCCCAGCUUACCUUUCGUUUGCA